AGUGUAGGCGGUUUGGUAAGUCGGAUGUGAAAGCCCCGGGCUCAACCCGGGAAGUGCACUCGAUACUGCCAAGCUAGAGUAUCGGAGAGGUUGGUGGAAUUCUCGGUGUAGAGGUGAAAUUCGUAGAUAUCGAGAGGAACACCGGUGGCGAAGGCGGCCAACUGGACGAAUACUGACGCUGAGACUCGAAAGCGUGGGGAGCAAACAGGAUUAGAUACCCUGGUAGUCCACGCCGUAAACGAUGGGUGCUAGGUGUCGCGGGCUUUGACUCCUGCGGUGCCGUAGCUAACGCAUUAAGCACCCCGCCUGGGAAGUACGGCCGCAAGGCUAAA
RNAcentral lists this ribosomal RNA (332 nucleotides) under uncultured Pseudomonadota bacterium. RNAcentral's name for it is "bacterial SSU rRNA". It matches the Rfam family "Bacterial small subunit ribosomal RNA", at positions 568 to 898 of the family's 1533-position model. The record is from RNAcentral. Lineage: Bacteria; Pseudomonadati; Pseudomonadota.